AUUGAACGCUGGCGGCAUGCCUUACACAUGCAAGUCGAACGGUAACAGGUCUUCGGAUGCUGACGAGUGGCGAACGGGUGAGUAAUACAUCGGAACGUGCCUAGUAGUGGGGGAUAACUACUCGAAAGAGUGGCUAAUACCGCAUGAGAUCUACGGAUGAAAGCAGGGGAUCGCAAGACCUUGUGCUACUAGAGCGGCCGAUGGCAGAUUAGGUAGUUGGUGGGAUAAAAGCUUACCAAGCCGACGAUCUGUAGCUGGUCUGAGAGGACGAUCAGCCACACUGGGACUGAGACACGGCCCAGACUCCUACGGGGGGCAGCAGUGGGGAAUUUUGGACAAUGGGCGAAGGCCUGAUCCAGCAAUGCCGCGUGCAGGAUGAAGGCCUUCGGGUCGUAAACUGCUUUUGUACGGAACGAAAAGCCCUGGGUUAAUACCCUGGGGUCAUGACGGUACCGUAAGAAUAAGCACCGGCUAACUACGUGCCAGCCGCCGCCGUAA
Molecule: ribosomal RNA, 498 nt
Filed under: uncultured bacterium
Lineage: Bacteria
Description: partial 16S ribosomal RNA
Rfam family: Bacterial small subunit ribosomal RNA
Source: RNAcentral